AUACGUAGGGGGCGAGCGUUGUCCGGAAUGAUUGGGCGUAAAGGGCGCGUAGGCGGCUUUGCAAGUCAGUAGUGGAAGUCCAUUUUUCAAGGAUGGAAGUGCUACAGAAACUGCGGAGCUUGAGCGCAGGAGAGGUUAUCGGAAUUCCCGGUGUAGCGGUGAAAUGCGUAGAGAUCGGGAGGAACACCAGUGGCGAAGGCGGGUAACUGGACUGCAACUGACGCUGAGGCGCGAAAGUGUGGGGAGCAAACAGGAUUAGAUACCCUGGUAGUCCACACUGUAAACGAUGAAUGCUAGGUGUAGGAGGUAUCGACCCCUUCUGUGCCGCAGUAAACACAGUAAGCAUUCCGCCUGGGGAGUACGGUCGCAAGAUUAAAACUCAAAGGAAUUGACGGGG
Molecule: ribosomal RNA, 397 nt
Filed under: uncultured bacterium
Lineage: Bacteria
Description: partial 16S ribosomal RNA
Rfam family: Bacterial small subunit ribosomal RNA
Source: RNAcentral